This 445-nucleotide ribosomal RNA is filed under the name uncultured bacterium. RNAcentral's name for it is "partial 16S ribosomal RNA". It matches the Rfam family "Bacterial small subunit ribosomal RNA", at positions 331 to 792 of the family's 1533-position model. The record is from RNAcentral.
CCAGACUCCUACGGGAGGCAGCAGUCGGGAAUAUUGCGCAAUGGAGGAAACUCUGACGCAGUGACGCCGCGUAUAGGAAGAAGGUUUUCGGAUUGUAAACUAUUGUCCACAGGGAAGAAAAAAGACUGUACCUGUGAAGAAAGCUCCGGCUAACUACGUGCCAGCAGCCGCGGUAAUACGUAGGGAGCAAGCGUUAUCCGGAAUUAUUGGGUGUAAAGGGUGCGUAGACGGGAUAACAAGUUGGUUGUGAAACCCCUCGGCUCAACUGAGGAACUGCAACCAAAACUAUUAUUCUUGAGUGCAGGAGAGGAAAGUGGAAUUCCUAGUGUAGCGGUGAAAUGCGUAGAUAUUAGGAAGAACACCGGUGGCGAAGGCGACUUUCUGGACUGUAACUGACGUUGAGGCACGAAAGUGUGGGGAGCAAACAGGAUUAGAUACCCUUGUA